GCCCCAGCUCCUGCGUGAGGGGACGCAGCACACAGACUCAGUACAGAGGGGUGUGGAGGCGACCUGGAGGCGACCUUUUGAACCCUGAAGAUGCGGGGGUUCCUGGCUGGGUGGAGCUUAUCAGAAGACAAGAGAAAAACCCUGCCAAAGAAGGCAGCUCCGCAGCGGCUGAGCCCCCACUCACCAGGCGGCCGCGAGCUCUGGCUCCCGCGGGAAUCUGGCCAGGUGGGAGGGGUGGGGUUGGAAAGGGGCGAGGGUAGACCGCUGAGCGUCCAGCAAGGAAGAGGCGGGAGCCAGCUUUCCCUGUUUGCCUCGUGGCCUUGUGUAACACACAGGAAUACAAAGCCCGCGGCAGUCUUCGGGAGCCCUAAGGGGGAGCCUGCUGCCAUUACUAUCAAGUGUAAGUGGGCAUGGUCUUUUUUAAAAAAAAACUAAAGUUACUUUCAUUCGGGCACCCUGCAUUUAUUGACCACCUACUGCGUGCUGGCUUAAAGAGCAAGGCCCGCCCUGGCAGGUGCAUCUGGCCCUGCCCCCGCCACACCCGGCGCCUCCUUGCCUGGACAGCCCGGGCAGCACCCACUCACUCGCUCACUCGUGACUCAGCACAUUCCCGGUUCCCGGGGCCAGGCGGGGCGCAGCGGGUGAGCAAAUCCAAAUCCACCCUGGCUGCCGCCCCCCUCCGUGCCGAGUGCCUGCUGCUCUGGGCCCCACAGCCCCGCGGGGUCCUCCUUGCUCGCCCCAUGGGUCCGGAACCCCCACCCCCUUCCACCGGCUCUGCUGGUGCUGCCCUGCACCACUGUCCACUCCCCCAUCCGCGGUGGGAAGACAAAGGGCGCCAGGUCGGGACAGCUCCCAAAGGGAGGAUGGUAAGACCAGUGAGACCCUCCCAGCCCAGGGCCAGCGAGGCCUUCUUCACGGGUGACCAGAUCUCCCCGGGGGAAAGUCAGCGUCGUGGGAGUUGGCCGCCGUUGCUCUUUCCCACUGUUCCCAAAAUGGGGCCACUUGGGGGCCGGCGCUGUGGCGUGGCAGGUGAAGCCGCCGCCUGCAGUGCCAGCAUCCCAUAUAGAUGCUGGUUCGAGUCCUGGUUGCUCCGCUUCCGAUCCAGCUCUCUGCUGUGGCCUGGGAAAGCAGCAGAAGAUGACCCAAGUGCUUGGGCCCCCUGCACCCGCAUGGGAGACCCAGAAGAAAGCUCCUGGCUCCUGGCUUCAGAUUGGCCCAGCUCCAGCUUUUGUGGCCAUUUGGGGAGUGAACAAGUGGAUGGAAGACUCUCUCUCUCUGUAACUCUGAUUUUCAAAUAAAUAAAUAUAGCAAAUUGCGGCCACUUGGACCUUUACCUGGCUACACCAGCUAAGGCGGCAGUGGCACAGGCAGCAGGCCUGCUCACCGGGCGUGGAGCCGGCAGCGCCUGCAAGUCUCUUCCUCCACCCCCACCACCCUCAGCAUCCUCCGGGGGUCCCAGGCCCUGACCUCCAGACACCCGCGUUCACGUGUGACCCAAGCCCGGCCAAUCACAGAACCUGCACUCUGGCCGCAGGGACUGGGCCCGGCCAAUCACAGAACCUGCACUCUGGCCGCAGGGACUAGGUCAUUCUGAGAGCACGUGAUCAGAGCUGAGCCAAUCAGAGCCCUCCGUGGCCCAUCCCGAAUCCACUGGCCAGGGGCUUCCUCUGCAGCCGAAGCUCCCAUUCGGGCGAGGCUGUGAGGACGGGGAGGCGGAGCUGAUGGCGGUGUCGUGGCUGAGGGGGUGGCUCACGAGACAGACACAGAGAGCCGACUUUAGACCCCUGGCCCUCUCUUGCCAUGUGUUUGGGAGAGAGGUGAGUGGGCAGUUUCCAGGCAGCGCCAGGAGACCGAGCUGCGUUAGCCCUGUUGCUGGGAGGAGCGGGGGUGGCCAGGGUUGGAGUCAGCAGCACAGCGGGCAGGGGGUGCCAGCCAGCACCGGGGAGACCAACGGGAGCAGACGCGGACCCGGCCAGGAAACGCAGCAAACAGCCUGUACCAGCAGGCCCCGCUGAUCGCUUUCUCCAGCUGUUAAAAUCGUAGUAACCCGGCCGGCGCCGCGGCUCACUAGGCUAAUCCUCUGCCUGCGACACCGGCACCUCGGGUUCUAGUCCUGGUCAGGGCGCCGGAUUCUGUCCCGGUUGCCCCUCUUCCAGGCCAGCUCUCUGCUGUGGCCCGGGAGUGCAGUGGAGGAUGGCCCGAGUGCUUGGGCCCUGCACCCCAUGGGAGACCAGGAGAAGCACCUGGCUCCUGCCUUCGCAUCAGCACAGUGUGCUGGCCGUGGCGGCCAUUGGAGGGUGAACCAACGGCAAAGGAAGACCUUUCUCUCUGUCUCUCUCUCUCACUGUCCACUCUGCCUGUCAAAAAAAAUCGCAGGAAUCCAGACAACGCUGCCUGUGAAAGCUUCACCAUCUCAAGUGUGGUUCAGCGGUUCCGAACGCAGUCACAGCAGGUGCCGGGCGAGUAGCCGGGCUGCAGUCCGCGACGUGGGAGGCCCGGGCCCCGUUCCUCUGGCGGGCGUCUGUCUGCCUCUCUCUGUCUCUCAGACGAAUAAAUACGUCUUUCUUAUAUGGGGGGGGGGUGCC
This is a long non-coding RNA of Oryctolagus cuniculus (rabbit), 2585 nucleotides long. Lineage: Eukaryota; Metazoa; Chordata; Mammalia; Lagomorpha; Leporidae. The record is from Ensembl.